GAUCUGAAAAAAUUUGUUUUGUUUGAGUUUCCUUCUCCUUUUUUUGUUCUUGUUUUUGUCUAUUGCCUUAUUUUGUUCUUCCGUUCUCUUAUUUUGUUGUUUGAUGUUUGGAAUUUUUAGAUCUGUACAAUAACUUAUUUUUUUGCAAAUGAUGUAUGUAACGUGCGGAUCCUCUGUGUACAGGCACGACAUCUACGGCCGUGAAGCACCAUCCUCGCAUUCGUCGUCCUUAGCCAGUGACAACCACUCAUCUCUCACGGCUUCUCUGUGUAUAUUUCAACAUCUCUUGUGUAUUAAGGCACUCUGUUUGGGUUUCCUUUUUUUAUGCAUAUUUUUAGAUUUUUUGGUUGGAUUUGUUCUUUGUUGGUUCUUCCUCGCGUGGUGGCUCAGAUCCGCUGCCUAUGGCCGCGUGUAGCAGCCGACGACCAUGGCGGAAGUUCACAUCGGCUGAUAAUGGCCAGUCGGCAGCCCACGACCACGCCAGAAAGACGUACGAACAAAUCUGAAGAUUAAAUUUCAGAAGAUCCAAUUUAUAUGAUGGGUUUAAUUUUUUUGUUGGGUUUACUCUUUAAAUAAAGAUGUAAAUAUGCAAAUAUAGUUUUAUCUUUCCAUUU
Carya illinoinensis is the source of this 614-nucleotide long non-coding RNA. RefSeq lists it as uncharacterized. The transcript is spliced from 3 exons. Lineage: Eukaryota; Viridiplantae; Streptophyta; Magnoliopsida; Fagales; Juglandaceae. The record is from RefSeq and is a predicted model, not a curated record.